UGAGAAGAAUUUGAUUAGCUCUAGAUCAAGAGCUGUUUCGUCAGCGAUGAGCGAUUUCAACAUGUAUUAUCUGACUU
Molecule: small nucleolar RNA, 77 nt
Filed under: Phaeomoniella chlamydospora
Lineage: Eukaryota; Fungi; Ascomycota; Eurotiomycetes; Phaeomoniellales; Phaeomoniellaceae
Description: A. fimigatus snoRNA Afu_199
Rfam family: A. fimigatus snoRNA Afu_199
Source: Rfam by way of RNAcentral